Molecule: ribosomal RNA, 316 nt
Filed under: uncultured eukaryote
Lineage: Eukaryota
Description: partial large subunit ribosomal RNA
Rfam family: Eukaryotic large subunit ribosomal RNA
Source: RNAcentral
AUAUUAUUAAGCGGAGGAAAAGAAACUAACAAGGAUUCCCCUAGUAACGGCGAGUGAAGCGGGAAGAGCUCAACUUGAAAAUCGGUGUGCCUAGCGGUACAUCGAAUUGUAGUCUCGAGACAUUUCGGCAGUAGUGACCUGGGUAUAAAUCUUUUGAAACAAGGUAUCAUAGAGGGUGAGAAUCCCGUCUUUGACCCGGAGUUCGCUGCGUACGCUGGGUGUUCACAGAGUCGCUUAGCUUGGGAAUGCUGUCCUAAAUGGGUGGUAAAUUUCAUCUAAAGCUAAAUAUAGAGGAGAGACCGAUAGCGCACAAGUA